GAUGAAGAACGCAGCGAAAUGCGAUAAGUAAUGUGAAUUGCAGAAUUCAGUGAAACAUCGAAUCUUUGAACGCACAUUGCGCCCGCCAGUAUUCUGGCGGGCAUGCCUGUUCGAGCGUCAUUUCAACCAUCAAGCCCCAGGCUUGUGUUGGGGACCUGCGGCUGCCGCAGGCCCUGAAAACCAGUGGCGGGCUCGCUGUCACACCGGGCGUAGUAGAUUUUAUCUCGCUCAGGGCGUGCUGCGGGUUCCGGCCGUUAAAAAGCCUUUUUUACCCAAGGUUGACCUCGGAUCAGGUAGGAAGACCCGCUGAACUUAAGCAUAUCAAUAAGCGGAGGA
RNAcentral lists this unclassified non-coding RNA (336 nucleotides) under soil metagenome. RNAcentral describes it as "partial contains 5.8S ribosomal RNA, internal transcribed spacer 2, and large subunit ribosomal RNA". The stretch from base 1 to 120 matches the Rfam family "5.8S ribosomal RNA", at positions 35 to 154 of the family's 154-position model. The record is from RNAcentral.